This 554-nucleotide ribosomal RNA is filed under the name uncultured bacterium. RNAcentral's name for it is "bacterial SSU rRNA". It matches the Rfam family "Bacterial small subunit ribosomal RNA", at positions 840 to 1400 of the family's 1533-position model. The record is from RNAcentral.
UGAGUGACGCAGCUAACGCGUGAAGUCGACCGCCUGGGGAGUACGGCCGCAAGGUUAAAACUCAAAGGAAUUGACGGGGACCCGCACAAGCGGUGGAUGAUGUGGAUUAAUUCGAUGCAACGCGAAAAACCUUACCUACCCUUGACAUGUCUGGAACCUUGCUGAGAGGCGAGGGUGCCUUCGGGAGCCAGAACACAGGUGCUGCAUGGCUGUCGUCAGCUCGUGUCGUGAGAUGUUGGGUCAAGUCCCGCAACGAGCGCAACCCUUGUCAUUAGUUGCUACGAAAGGGCACUCUAAUGAGACUGCCGGUGAUAAACCGGAGGAAGGUGGGGAUGACGUCAAGUCCUCAUGGCCCUUAUAGGUGGGGCUACACACGUCAUACAAUGGCUGGUACAGAGGGUUGCCAACCCGCGAGGGGGAGCUAAUCCCAUAAAACCAGUCGUAGUCCGGAUCGCAGUCUGCAACUCGACUGCGUGAAGUCGGAAUCGCUAGUAAUCGCGGAUCAGAAUGUCGCGGUGAAUACGUUCCCGGGUCUUGUACACACCGCCCGUCAC